RNAcentral lists this long non-coding RNA (391 nucleotides) under Coturnix japonica (Japanese quail). Its description in RNAcentral is "lncRNA (ENSCJPG00005017692.1)". Lineage: Eukaryota; Metazoa; Chordata; Aves; Galliformes; Phasianidae. The record is from RNAcentral.
GUGAAGUGAAGGUAUCUACAUGUCCCCUUUUACAGUACAGUUGAGAGCCCUUCCAGAUUAAGACUAUAUCCAGAUCACCAAAAUAAACUGACAUCUGGGAGGAGUCUGGUGCGAGACCGCCAUUACAAAACUCAGUGAAACUGUGCUGUUCCUGAGAAGAAAGUGUCCUCACUCACAUUUUGAAGUCAAUCAUAUAUCCCCAUCUUAAAGGCAAGGUCAUGCUGCUACUGCCUCCAGAGUUUCUGUCACUGUAGUUCCCCUUCCCUAUGGGCAAAAAUUAAGACUGAUGUGAAAUCGCCUCACUUGUGUGCUCAGAGGGCUCCAGCAGCUGUGUUCACCUAGACAGGUCAAUGGCUGGCAUUUGCAGCCGGGCACUUCUCUCUCAUUCCUG